Molecule: long non-coding RNA, 1029 nt
Organism: Cyprinus carpio (common carp)
Lineage: Eukaryota; Metazoa; Chordata; Actinopteri; Cypriniformes; Cyprinidae
Exons: 2
Source: RefSeq, a predicted model, not a curated record
AGCCAGUCAAAACAGAGCUUAUUGAAUCAAUGGCAGUUCAAAUAGCUGCUAUCAAUGGUUGUGAGUAUAAUGCUUCAUCACUGACCAACUGAUAGAUCAGAGGAUCCAUUGUGCUCUUUAAUCAUAUUCUUCAUUUAAUUUCCAUAAUCCAUUCACAUAACAGAAACCAUUAAAACAAAGCUGUUCACAUCACUCACCCAGCGCUGAAACAGGAAGUUUACUGUGGGGUACUCAGCACUAUUUAAAUCCAAAAACCGAUUGCCAACCAAAUGAGGCAUCCAUUCAUAAUCCAUCUCAGAGCAUCACAUUUCACAAUAUAUCAUGGGCAAUGGAACAUCUAGGCCUCUGAUGACCCAGCACUCAAGAAAAAAUAUUAGGAGAAAUGAAAAGCUCACUGAGGAUGACCCAAAGGACAAAGUUCCUUUUGCAGACACCUUACGGAAAGACAAACAUUCAAAAGUACGGUCCAAGAAAGACUACAGUAUGGCAAAACUAAAUCUCGCAAGAGGCAAUCGCAUCAGUUACUGCCAUCUAUCAUCAGCACUGGAGUCUAAGCAGGAACAAUUUUCAGUGAAGAAUUGGGAAAUGUACAAUCCUGCCUUUGUAGAGGAGAAAAAUCCACAAAGUUAAAAGACCAGUUUAUAUACUGACACCUAGUGUAAAAUGUCAGGACCUCUUAAAAAUUGAGGUGGAUUUGAUUUGUAACAGUCUGUUUUGGAAAUAUUCAGAAAACUGUUCCAUUCAAAUAUUUAAAUAAUUUUUGAGUAGUUCCUGCUUGUCUUUAAAAAGGACCCUUCCCUCAUUCAUUGUCAGUGGAAGCCAUACAUUUUGAUAAAUGAUCAAUUGUACCCUAUUUCUGAAAACAUGUCCAAAUCUGCAUUUCAAAUAUGUAUUUGUUAUAUCUGAAUAAUAGCCAUCUUUGGAAAAAUAAUCUCCAACACUACUGUGAUUUAAAAACUGAUCUUAAAUUCUCAAAGAUGAGGUAUGAUUUUGGUGGAUUUUUAAAUAAAAAUUACAACUUGAAACAAA